This 72-nucleotide transfer RNA is filed under the name Camelus bactrianus (Bactrian camel). It matches the Rfam family "tRNA". Rfam says of the family: Transfer RNA (tRNA) molecules are approximately 80 nucleotides in length. Their secondary structure includes four short double-helical elements and three loops (D, anti-codon, and T loops). Further hydrogen bonds mediate the characteristic L-shaped molecular structure. tRNAs have two regions of fundamental functional importance: the anti-codon, which is responsible for specific mRNA codon recognition, and the 3' end, to which the tRNAs corresponding amino acid is attached (by aminoacyl-tRNA synthetases). tRNAs cope with the degeneracy of the genetic code in two manners: having more than one tRNA (with a specific anti-codon) for a particular amino acid; and 'wobble' base-pairing, i.e. permitting non-standard base-pairing at the 3rd anti-codon position. The record is from Rfam by way of RNAcentral. Lineage: Eukaryota; Metazoa; Chordata; Mammalia; Artiodactyla; Camelidae. RNAcentral also lists the same sequence under 2 other names.
GAGGGCAUAGUUCAGUGGUAGAAUGUGUGCUUAGCAUGCACAAGGUCCUGGGUUCAAUCCCCGGUCCCCCCA